UUAGAUAUUUCAACCUAUAGAAAAUGCUUUUGGAAUUUUGAAUGGUGGCAAUGCCGUUUUAUAAAUUUUAAUAAACAUGUAUUUAGGCAAGCGAUCAUUUCUUAAAAUCAACUUUGCUUUUACUGUUCCAAGCUGAUUACACAAACCUUCAAUUAGGAGAAAUAAAAUAAAUAGAACAAAUAUGUGUACAGUUUCUCUGAUGCCAAGAGCGCCUGGUCGUGAUGAAGUUCCACAGCAUCCGUUAGAAAGACUUGCACCAUUGAGAGAAGACUAUGAACUAAGAAUGGGUACUUUUCAGCUAUGGUCCAAUCCUAGUAUAAAUGCAAAAGACCUGUGUGAUAAUGGAUUUUAUUACAUGGGAAUGGAUGAUAAGGUCCAAUGUGCUUUUUGUGGGGGUGUUCUAAAUGGUUGGAGCUGUGGUGAUAACGUUCAUAUUAAACAUGCUACUCAUUAUGGACAUUGUAUAGUAGUUCGUAUGGUGAAACAUACCAGAUAUGCGGUGAAUAAUGAAAGACUUUCUACAUACAACAACUGGCCACAGAGUCUCAAACAGAAUCCAAUAGAUCUUGCGGCUGCAGGCUUCUUUUAUAAAGGAGAACAUGAUAUAUGUGUAUGUUAUAUGUGUGGAGGACACAUAACAGACUGGGAAGAUAAUGAUAUACCUGAAAUAGAGCACAGAAAAUGGUUUCCUACUUGCCCAUUCAGUCAAAGGUAGAAUACAACGUUUCCAUUAUCUGUAAAAUUGGUUUUGAAAGACAAAGUUAUAUGAUAGAGGAUAAGCUUUGAUUAGUGUUCCGAUAAAAGGCUAUUUCAGAUUUGAAUGAAAGUGUGUUUUAGCCGUAUGCAUCGCUUUAAAGAGGAGAAGAUUGCAUCGGAACAGGAAGGACAAAAUUUCAAGACGGAAAUUAUAUCGGCCUUAUAGAACUAACAGAACUUUGGAUUAAAUAAGCCACCAGAAAUUUAAAAAAAAAAAUGCAUAUCUUUAUAGAGACAUACGUCGUGCCAAGAUGUUGGACGAUAUGAAUAUAAUCAUAAAACACUUUCUGAAUAAAUAUUAUAUAUUAACAGAUUUCAA
Mytilus californianus (California mussel) is the source of this 1075-nucleotide long non-coding RNA. RefSeq lists it as uncharacterized. The record is from RefSeq and is a predicted model, not a curated record. The transcript has 3 exons. Lineage: Eukaryota; Metazoa; Mollusca; Bivalvia; Mytilida; Mytilidae.